This is a long non-coding RNA of Rattus rattus (black rat), 4888 nucleotides long. RefSeq lists it as uncharacterized. The transcript has 2 exons. The record is from RefSeq and is a predicted model, not a curated record. NCBI's taxonomy places the organism in Eukaryota, Metazoa, Chordata, Mammalia, Rodentia, Muridae.
GGGGACCGGGCCGAGACCCAGCCCGGACCGAGCAACAGGUUGGCGAAACCCUGUGUCCUUGGAGGAAGCUGGUUCCUGUUUUCCUGAGGGAGUAGCCCGGAGUGCGGAAGGAAGCCAAGAGUGUACAGAGUUGAUGGUGGGAACGCGGGCAGAGGAAGCCCCUCGGGAAGUCCAGCUGCAGAGAUAGCCACCCCAGUGCUAUUUACAUAGAGCUAUAUAUAUACAAAACAGGAGAAAAAUACAAAAUUCCGUAUCUGUGCAUGCCUGCGGGGGACGUGGUCCCUUUCCUUUCCACGCAACCUUGCGAUGUGAACUCUGAGACUUUGUGAUGUCUAGGGUGGCAGGGGAGAGAGAUGCUUGCUGCGGCGCGUGCAGGGAACUUACGUGGACCUGUGGGAUCGGCCUCAGUGUGGACCAACUGCUCAGCACAGAUGCUGGUGUGGAGUAGAGGGGACUCAGCGGCCGAAGGCAAGAUGGACAAGACAGAGGGGACGUGGGGCCCGUUUUGUUGGGGGCAGCCUGGGAUCCCUUCAUUUCUUGACAUGUCCUAGCCUCUCAGUGUCCCCGUUGAGUCAGCUCUCCAGAUCUCAUGGCGGUCAUAGCCAGAGAAACGGGAUGUCGUUUUCUUUCCCUACCUACAAGUGUGUCUGGUGCUUCUCUUCACAGUUUCUUGGUGCUAAGUGUAUCCUUCUUGGUACAGACAGAGUCUUACAGACAGACCGGGAAGGCCAGGGGAUGAGACGUUUCUAUUUUGCUCUUUGGAUAGACUCUCGUUUCUUUUUUUAAAAAGGGCCAGGUGACAAGAUUGCCACUGGAAAGUCUCUCUCUGGGGGGAGGGGUGGUGCUCACAGGGCUUAAGAGCAGCCCCUCCCCCAGGGGGCAGGGCUACGAAGGGGAGGGGCGGGCCUUAUACAGGAGCUGCUUUGGAGGUGGCAGUCCCUCCUCUCCCUGCAGCAGCACUCUGGGAGACUGCUGUGGACUCCUCCAAUUUAUAAGGGGAUUCAGGGCUUAGGUUUUUGUAGAUUCAAGAGCCAAGAAAUAGCUGCGUUCUGACCGAGCGUGAUUUCUAAGCAGGGGAUGUGGGGGAAGGGGGGCGGACCGUUUAAAUGAAAUGUCCGAUUUCCCCUGCUCCCCAAACACACGGAAUAAGCUACUGUUUUCAGAAGUUUCUAGAAGGGCUAAUAUAAAUAUAAAUAUAUAUACACAAAUAUAACGAAGCUGAGUGCUAGACUGACAUUUGGCUGCAGUGGUUCACGGCUUCAGGACUGGUGGCUUUUUUUUUUUAAAGGAACAGGUAUUACUCCUCUGCAUGGAUACUGUAUCACACCCCCCCCCCCACUGAGGUCUUUGUAGCCGAGAUGGUGAGGGAUGCUUGCUGUGGGCUCAGUGAGACAGUUACUCUUGUUUUUAUUUUAUCUUUUUUUUUUUUUCCUUUCUAAUUUUGGAGACAAGGCCUCACCCUGGAGCCCAGGCUGACCUCAGCUCAUGAGCCUCCCGGCCCUGUAUCUGGCAUUUGGGACUCUGGCUACCAGGGGAGCGUCAUUUUCUCCUGGCUGGAUUUGCAGGUGAUUUGCCUGGUACCUGGGGGAUCAGGGUUUCUGCUAGAAAGCAUCAGUUGUUCAGGUGCACAGGGCUUCAAGGGAACCGGUCCCUGGCCAACGUUGCUGAGUGGGACCAGUAAAAUGCACCCUUUCCCAGUUUGCAGUCAACAGGCUCCUCUCUCCAUAUUAAAUCCAUGCCUUAUAUUUCUCUGAAUAACCCACUUUAAAAAAAAAAAAAAAAAAAAAACCGCAACCGGGAACUCAAUGCUGAAGCCUCCCCCUUUUAUCUGCCAGAACCGAAAUCAGCAAAGAAAACUAAAUAAAAGGAGAGAGUCUGUCUGGCAGGGGAAGCAGCAGGCAGCAGGCCAUGCCCUCGCCCAGCCAGAAUUACACAGAAUGAUCUGGAAGACACCCUCUGCUUGUGUUGAGUCCCUUUCCCAGCAAGGAAACAAGUCCUUGCAAGCAUCACAUUUCAACACAGUGGGACUCUGUGGUGUCAGCCUCUUUAAAGACACACGGUCCAGAUCACAGCGGGGGGCAUGCUGACCCUGGAGAGACCCAGUGCAAAGGGUGAGGGGUGAGAGAAAACCUCUCUUUCUGUGUUUUGCUUUCUGAGCCUGGCUUUGCCUGUUAGCUAGUGAUAGCUCCCUGGAGGAUUUGAACUCCAAACACAGGGGUUAGCCUCUCUGGUCAUUUUCAUUUCAAUGAAGCUGUUUUGCCGAGAGAGCCGGGCACCCUGUGACCUUCCCAAUGGAACUUCUCAGCCAAGUCCUCUGUAAAUACUCUCCCGUAGUAAUGGAAACCACGUAUUUGUCGAAUCUGGGCCUUGGCUCGCACGCUGUUCGUUUGAGUGUGCUUCUCCUGCCCCGGGUUUGAUGGGGUUGUUUUUUAAAUGCCUGUUUUUUCUAUGAGAUCUGACUUCUUGAUGGACAUUUGUAUUAGAAUAUUGAAGCAUGCUGGCUGUGUCACUGUUGUCUCACUGUCUCUGCCGUGGUGUUACUUGGACUGCAUGAGAUAAUGGGACAGCCUUUCUGUUAUUGGUGUUAUUGAAAAAAAAAAAAAAAAAAAACCCAACUUCCACAGUGUGUGAAGCUCUGGCACGAUCUCCCUCUCUUUAUCCUGCUCUCCCUGGCUGCCAAGGAGCAUUGAUUUUGAUUCGCUUCUAUGUGGAGUCUGUGAAGAGGGAGAGAGGCUUUGAAAUAAAUUUUAAAAGGACCUCAUACUGGGUUUCAGCAGACAGCAGUGGGUAUGUGUGUGUGUUCGUGUGUGAGUGCGUGUGCAUCCAUCCGCCUCGAGGCCUCUGAGAUCAUUGCUAAGGAGCUGGUUGUGUGAGGAGCUGAGGUGCCACCCGGGUCUAAAAGCUGCUGGCUGCUCUCUGAGGGUGAGUCCUGGGGGUCUGUGGGACUGAAGCCUUCUAGAGUAGGUCCACUCCCUUCUGGAAGCUUCUCUCCCUCACUUCAUCCCCCACAAGCAAGAGCUCUGCCCACAUUUGGGGUUCGAUUUCCCUUUGUCUAGAUGGGGUUUGAGCCAGAGUUCUUUUGGAGAGCCCAGGAAGGACUGUGCCCACUGUCCACGGUCCUGGGCUGGGAGGGCAUGCCCCCCACAUUCCCCGUCCCUCUCCACACCCCAUUUACAGUUACCCUGGAGACUGCCUCCCCACUUCUGUGAUAGCCUUGUUCUGUUUCCUUUCUACCUUGAUGGGGGAUGCUGACUGAAGCCUAGUGUCACAGGAUAACGAGGCCCUGAAUGGCCUGAUGAUACUCUUUAGAUCUGAGCUCAUGUCCUGUAUGCCACCUGACUGUACUGUCAUGUUUCUGAAAUUGACAAAGUGUCAUUCUUGCUCACUGAGAACUGGGGGAGGGGGCAGGUCCUCGCAUGAGCUCCCCGGGUAUCUCUGGGAGACCCUGGGUCACUAUUGGGGACGGCUCGUUUUUGUUAUUACUAUUAUUGUUUUCUGAGACACGGAGCCAGGCUGGCCUUGAACUCACUAUACAGCAGAGGAUAACCCUGAACUCCUCAUCCUCCUGCCUCCACCUCCUGAUUACUGGCUUUUGUUGUGGACUUUUUGGAUGUCCACCGUGGACUGUUAGAACACAAGUCUCUCCCGGGUUCAUGCUGUUUUCUUUUCUGAGCCUGAAGUCAACUUGGGGAGAGCAGGGGGUCAGAAGGUGCUGGGGAUUUGGGGAGAGGGGCCGCAGGCUAUUUCCACAGGAGCUGGUCCGAAGCCCCACCAAGAGGGAAAGGAGACAUCACAGCAUCUCUUGAAAGCUUUAGCCAAAAGUUUAUCUUUUUGACGUUUUAAUGUAUUCACUCGAUGCUUAUUUAUUGAACAUCUACCGUGUACCAGCUGAAGACCUCCACGUCUGAGCAAACUGACUUAGUUAUGGUACAGCAACAGUCCUUUUUGGAGACCAGAUGCCGUGAAAUGUCCCUUUCCAGUCUGGCUCAUAAUUUAGAACAGAUCUGCCGGGUCACCAUUGUGACCCCAAGCCUUGCUGGCAGAUUGCUAUAUAGUAUUUUCUGCAUGCCACUCUCUGGGCUGAAUGCAAUUAAAAAUUUUGCUACGUUGUCUCCUUCUCCACUGAGAGGAUUGGUCCCUUUUGUACAAUAAUCAAAGACACCCCCCCCCCCGCCACACACACACAGGAGCACGGCCACUGAACACUGCAGGAGGCGCUUCCCAAGGCUUCCCCUGAGAGAGCCCCAUCCUACUGGUUAGUACCACUGAUCCCAUUUUACAGGCGAGGAAGCUGAGGGCACCCAAAUGGCAAACUAAGGGUUGCAUUCGAGUCCGUCCCCCCCCCCAAGCCAAUGUGGUGUCUGCUCUGGUGUCACCCAUUUAAAAGCAAGCAUUAUGGGUGAAGGCAAGGUAUUCUAGCUCAAAGGCAGACAUUGCUAGUCUAAGGGCAGGGACAAACCUGUGGCCCAGCAGGGAGUGUCUACUUCAGCUGAAAAGAAAGCAAGCCUUACUUGGGGACACUUGAGAGCAGAAGGCUGUCUCCAGUUUGAAAAACCUCCAGGGUCAGGGGUAUCUAAUGUGCAAACGGACUGUCCCAACCACUCUGGAGGCCCUGGGGAGUCUCCCACCCCUCUCUCCUCUAUCUCCUCUCCCAACCCUGGAUCCCCAAGGUCUUUGCACUGGAAGAGUCAAGGAGCCGGUAUGGAUGGCAGAGGUGGCUGUGAGGGCAUUUGGAGACUGGGGGAGAGGCAGUAACUUGGGGGGACAUUCUGUCUGGGUCCUGACCUUGUUGCCUUGUGCUCUUUUGUAAGGGGUGGGGAGCUCCCUACCUGGAUGCUUUGUACAUAUUUGUUACACUUUUAUUAAAAAAUUGACCGUGCACCUCUAA